GUCUUUUAGAUUUAUAUUAAAAGUCUAACCUGCCCAUUGAAAUAUAAUAUUAAAAGGCUGCGGUAUUUUGACCGUACAAAGGUAGCAUAAUUAUUAGUUUUUUAAUUGAAAACUUGUAUGAAUGGUUGAAUGAGAUAUUAUCUGUUUUUAUAAAAAUAUAGAAUUUUACUUUUUAAUUAAAAGGUUAAAAUAUAAUUAAAAGACGAGAAGACCCUAUAGAUUUUUAUAUUUUAUAUUAGUUGUUAUUUAAAAAUAUAGUUUAUUUAUUUAAAUAUAAUAUAAAAAUAUUUUGUUGGGGUGAUAAUAAAAUUUAAUAAACUUUUAUUUAAAAUUUAACAUUAAUAUAUGAAUGUUUGAUCCAUACAUUAUGAUUAAAAAAUUAAAUUACCUUAGGGAUAACAGCGUAAUUUUUUUUUAAGUUCUUAUUAAUAAAAAAGUUUGCGACCUCGAUGUUGGAUUAAGAUUAAUUUUAGGUGCAGCAGUUUAAAAUUUAAGUCUGUUCGACUUUUAAAUUCUU
This 517-nucleotide ribosomal RNA is filed under the name Sciara hebes. RNAcentral's name for it is "partial small subunit ribosomal RNA". The record is from RNAcentral. Lineage: Eukaryota; Metazoa; Arthropoda; Insecta; Diptera; Sciaridae.